GGAGGGAUGGCAGAGUGGUUGAAUGCAGCGGUCUUGAAAACCGCCGUGCGGGUUCCCGUACCGAGGGUUCGAAUCCCUCUCCCUCCG
Molecule: transfer RNA, 87 nt
Filed under: Parafannyhessea umbonata
Lineage: Bacteria; Bacillati; Actinomycetota; Coriobacteriia; Coriobacteriales; Atopobiaceae
Description: Olsenella sp. lac31 tRNA
Rfam family: tRNA
About the family: Transfer RNA (tRNA) molecules are approximately 80 nucleotides in length. Their secondary structure includes four short double-helical elements and three loops (D, anti-codon, and T loops).
Source: Rfam by way of RNAcentral